GUCCGUCAUGAUAGGAGCGAUGGCAACCAUGGCAUCUUUGUCCAUGGCAACAGGAGAUUAUGGGUAGAAAAUCUUACAUCAGACAUGGAUUGUGUUUGUUCAGCCAGAGAAUGCCCAGUAUUCAAACAGCAGAGCCAUGCUUUGCCAUUGCAUGGGGUUCCUCAACUACACUGAUACCAAGAAGUGAACUUAGUGUGUUAUCAUUUUCAAGCCAUUCUGCCUAAAGGUUUGAAAUUUGACCUUGGAUGACUCAAAGACUUUUCCUCAAAAAGACAUGCAUGUCUACCCGAAGAAUAUAAGUGAAUCAUCCCAGAUAGAGUGUCUCACAGAACAAAUGAUGAUUGAAUGGGACCACAAUGGCCAGGAAUGAAUUUUGGGGAAGCCGUUGCAUGAACCCCAAAUGUAUGAUGUGACAUGCAACUGAACUGAACUCUCUGAGGAUGAAACAACUACAAAGCAGGGCUUCAGGUUUGCAUCUUGGAAAAUGGAAUCUGAGACAAUGGCCUCUCUUGCAGAAGCUGGAGAAAGAGCAGAUACCUAUAUAU
Long non-coding RNA from Mastomys coucha (southern multimammate mouse), 545 nucleotides. RefSeq lists it as uncharacterized. The transcript is spliced from 6 exons. NCBI's taxonomy places the organism in Eukaryota, Metazoa, Chordata, Mammalia, Rodentia, Muridae. The record is from RefSeq and is a predicted model, not a curated record.